This is a long non-coding RNA of Teleopsis dalmanni, 342 nucleotides long. RefSeq lists it as uncharacterized. The record is from RefSeq and is a predicted model, not a curated record. The transcript is spliced from 2 exons. Lineage: Eukaryota; Metazoa; Arthropoda; Insecta; Diptera; Diopsidae.
UUGAGGGUAUAAAUUGCCUCGACGAUUGCAGUAAAGUUAUCAGUUCAUUUUCUUUGCUCAGAAAGUAAACAAUCAAACUAAAAACAAAAUGAAAUUCGUCAUCAUCUUCAUGCUUAUUGCUUUGGCUUUCAGUGCCUCAGCUUCAGUUAUUGCUGCUGGUCCUUUGGGUCUUGGAGUUGGUCUCGGUGUUCCAGCUAUUGGUGUUGGUGUUGGCCCAAUCUUGGGUAAAGGUUUACACCUUGGCUGAAUGGAAUCCUCACAAUGUCAACGCUCGAUGUAACAACAGAAUAGCAACAAUAAAAAAUCGCAUAACUCAGAUAAAAAACUGAAUGUGCAAUAAAA